GACGAACGCUGGCGGCGUGCUUAACACAUGCAAGUCGAACGGAAAGGCCUCUUUCGGGGGGUACUCGAGUGGCGAACGGGUGAGUAACACGUGAGUAACCUGCCCUUGACUUUGGGAUAACUUCAGGAAACUGGGGCUAAUACCGGAUAGGAGCUCCUGCUGCAUGGUGGGGGUUGGAAAGUUUCGGCGGUUGGGGAUGGACUCGCGGCUUAUCAGCUUGUUGGUGGGGUAGUGGCUUACCAAGGCUUUGACGGGUAGCCGGCCUGGGAGGGUGACCGGCGACAUUGGGACUGAGAUACGGCCCAGACGCCUACGGGAGGCAGCAGGGGGGAAUAUUGCGCAAUGGGUGGAAGCCUGAUGCAGCAUCGCCGUGGGCGGGAUGACGGCCUUCGGGUUGUAAACCGCUUUCGCUCAUGACGAAGCUUUGUGUGACGGUAGUGGGUAAAGAAGCACCGGCUAACUACGUG
This 467-nucleotide ribosomal RNA is filed under the name uncultured bacterium. RNAcentral's name for it is "partial 16S ribosomal RNA". It matches the Rfam family "Bacterial small subunit ribosomal RNA", at positions 28 to 507 of the family's 1533-position model. The record is from RNAcentral.